UGGAACCCAGUCCACCCACUGGGGAGCCAGGCCCUCCCACUGGGGAGCCAGGCCCACCCACUUGGAACCCAGUCCACCCACUUGGAACCCAGUCCACCCACUGAGGAGCCAGGCCCACCCACUUGGAACCCAGUCCACCCAACCAUUAUGUUAGCUUCAGGAACCUCUUCUUUUUUAAAUUUUAUUUUUACUAAAGAUGAAACUGAAUAUGUUGUACUGUACAGAGCAUUAUGGGUACUGUAGUACAUCAUACUACAAUGAGGAGGAGGGGAGGGAAAAGAGGCGUGUCAGGAAGUCAUUUAAAUAAUAACCGCCAAACUGUAUCGUUGUCGGUCACUAACAUUCACCGUACAGGGGGGUUAGAGGUCCCCUAGUGUUACUGUCCACAGAGGGGAUUGUGUUGUAUGUGUUGAGCCAGGUGUUGUUGAAUCAGUGGACACCUCCAUGGUUGGACUAUGGCUGGUCUCCUUCACCAGAACUGACAUGCAGCAGAGGUUGUCUGUCCACAACAUCCUGAAGAGAGACUCAGUAAUCGUAGACGUUGUCCAGCCACACAAACACAUCCAUUUUAGUGUUCAUCCGUGUAUAAAUGUCAAUACAGUCAUUUCUUUUAGAGUUAAAAAAACAAAAACACCCCGGUUUAUCAGGUGCAGAAAGGUACAGCAGCUUUUUGAGUUCUUUGUGUGAAUGACUCAGUGUCUAGAAUAGUAAUAGAAAUGUAGUUUAGUUACACGACCCCCCCCAUAUGUAACCAUUAUAUCAUUAACUGUCAGCAUUGUAGUGUGUAAUGUGUUACGUAUGUAUGCAAUACACUUGUGUGGGGGUCAGAAGGAUGCAAAGAGAAUGUAUUGAUGUAUAGUAAACUAUCCAUAUGUUGUACUUACAAUCCACGCUGCGAUUAAAUCCUUUUAAUAAAAAUAAUAUUCAAUACAAGGUG
Long non-coding RNA from Oncorhynchus gorbuscha (pink salmon), 937 nucleotides. RefSeq lists it as uncharacterized. Lineage: Eukaryota; Metazoa; Chordata; Actinopteri; Salmoniformes; Salmonidae. The transcript is spliced from 2 exons. The record is from RefSeq and is a predicted model, not a curated record.